RNAcentral lists this long non-coding RNA (270 nucleotides) under Homo sapiens (human). Its description in RNAcentral is "HSALNT0370520". The record is from RNAcentral. Lineage: Eukaryota; Metazoa; Chordata; Mammalia; Primates; Hominidae.
AGGAUACUAAAUGGGUCUAUGUGACUUUAGGGACCCUCUGCUUUUGGACUAGCCUGGAACCCAGGUUCAGUCCUGCUGACCUGGCACUGGAAGGGAGGCAGGGUGCUGGCACCCACGAGCAAGCCACAGCCAAGCAGACUGAUCUCGGCUGGGAUUACAGGUGUGAGCCACUGCGUCUGGCCCCAAGUAACUUUUUAACACAGUUCUUCAACUGCAUACCUUCAAUCUAAGAUGGAGUCUCACUCUGUCGCCCAGGCUGAAGUGCAGUGG